CUUGGUGACGGCAUCCACUCCUUAUCCUCGGCCUUGCCUCCGCGAGCUCCGCAGCCUUGGCCCCGGCCGCGUCCACGGCCGCGACUCCGGCCCCCGAUGCCACUGCCGAAGCCUCCGCGGAAGCCACCAUUGUUCCCCAUCCCAGUGCCCCCAGGGCCUCCGGGCCCCCGCGCUGCACCGGCAUCAUCCGCCAUUUGUUUUCUCGGAUAAGAAGCUAAGAAUGGCAGCAGAAUGCUCCGUCACUAUAUGCAGAAACAAGACAACUUGAAGCUAAAUGGAAGCCCUGCAGAGUCAACAGGUCCAGAUUCACAGUGCACGCCCUGAGCUACAGCCCCUCCAAAAGGCAUCUUCCCCCAGAGCCUCAAUGCCAAGCAAGGAGCCGUCAAGAGUCUGCCUUGGUUGUUUUGUUCUUUUUACAAACCGUACAGAUAUACAAUUG
This 439-nucleotide long non-coding RNA is filed under the name Homo sapiens (human). RNAcentral's name for it is "PREDICTED lncRNA (TCONS_00074880)". Lineage: Eukaryota; Metazoa; Chordata; Mammalia; Primates; Hominidae. The record is from RNAcentral.